This 501-nucleotide ribosomal RNA is filed under the name uncultured bacterium. Its description in RNAcentral is "partial 16S ribosomal RNA". It matches the Rfam family "Bacterial small subunit ribosomal RNA", at positions 29 to 523 of the family's 1533-position model. The record is from RNAcentral.
AUUGAACGCUGGCGGCACGCCUAACACAUGCAAGUCGAGCGGUAGCAGGACCUGUAGCAAUACAGGUUGCUGACGAGCGGCGGACGGGUGAGGAAUACGUAGGAACUUGCCCUUCAGUGGGGGAUAACCAAGGGAAACUUUGGCUAAUACCGCAUAAUCUCGGGAGAGUAAAGCUGCCGCAAGGUGGUGCUGAAGGAACGGCAUGCAUCCGAUUAGCUAGUUGGUGAGGUAAGAGCUCACCAAGGCGAUGAUCGGUAACUGGUCUGAGAGGACGACCAGUCACACUGGGACUGAGACACGGCCCAGACUCCUACGGGAGGCAGCAGUGGGGAAUAUUGGACAAUGGGGGCAACCCUGAUCCAGCGAUGCCGCGUGAGUGAAGAAGGCCCUCGGGUCGUAAAGCUCUUUAGGUUGGGAAGAAGGUUAUUGGAGGAAAUGCUAGUAGCUUGACGGUACCGACAGAAUAAGCACCGGCAAACUCUGUGCCAGCCGCCGCAGUAA